Molecule: ribosomal RNA, 3318 nt
Filed under: Salmonella enterica subsp. enterica serovar Derby
Lineage: Bacteria; Pseudomonadati; Pseudomonadota; Gammaproteobacteria; Enterobacterales; Enterobacteriaceae
Description: bacterial LSU rRNA
Rfam family: Bacterial large subunit ribosomal RNA
Source: RNAcentral
UUAAGCGACUAAGCGUACACGGUGGAUGCCCUGGCAGUCAGAGGCGAUGAAGGGCGUGCUAAUCUGCGAUAAGCGCCGGUAAGGUGAUAUGAACCGUUAUAACCGGCGAUACCCGAAUGGGGAAACCCAGUGUGAUUCGUCACACUAUCAUUAACUGAAUCCAUAGGUUAAUGAGGCGAACCGGGGGAACUGAAACAUCUAAGUACCCCGAGGAAAAGAAAUCAACCGAGAUUCCCCCAGUAGCGGCGAGCGAACGGGGAGGAGCCCAGAGCCUGAAUCAGCAUGUGUGUUAGUGGAAGCGUCUGGAAAGGCGCGCGAUACAGGGUGACAGCCCCGUACACAAAAGCGCAUGUGUUGUGAGCUCGAUGAGUAGGGCGGGACACGUGGUAUCCUGUCUGAAUAUGGGGGGACCAUCCUCCAAGGCUAAAUACUCCUGACUGACCGAUAGUGAACCAGUACCGUGAGGGAAAGGCGAAAAGAACCCCGGCGAGGGGAGUGAAAAAGAACCUGAAACCGUGUACGUACAAGCAGUGGGAGCUGAGGGAAAGGCGAAAAGAACCCCGGCGAGGGGAGUGAAAAAGAACCUGAAACCGUGUACGUACAAGCAGUGGGAGCCCCACCACUAAGCCAGUGGUGAACUCCACAUACGCAUCCUUUGCUGAGGAUACGGUUAACGGAGCGCAAGCGACGUUCAACCGCAAAAGAAGCAGAGGGGGCUUAGUGGUGGGGUGACUGCGUACCUUUUGUAUAAUGGGUCAGCGACUUAUAUUCUGUAGCAAGGUUAACCGUAUAGGGGAGCCGGAGGGAAACCGAGUCUUAAUUGGGCGUUAAGUUGCAGGGUAUAGACCCGAAACCCGGUGAUCUAGCCAUGGGCAGGUUGAAGGUUGGGUAACACUAACUGGAGGACCGAACCGACUAAUGUUGAAAAAUUAGCGGAUGACCUGUGGCUGGGGGUGAAAGGCCAAUCAAACCGGGAGAUAGCUGGUUCUCCCCGAAAGCUAUUUAGGUAGCGCCUCGUGAAUUCAUCUCCGGGGGUAGAGCACUGUUUCGGCUAGGGGGCCAUCCCGGCUUACCAACCCGAUGCAAACUGCGAAUACCGGAGAAUGUUAUCACGGGAGACACACGGCGGGUGCUAACGUCCGUCGUGAAGAGGGAAACAACCCAGACCGCCAGCUAAGGUCCCAAAGUCAUGGUUAAGUGGGAAACGAUGUGGGAAGGCCCAGACAGCCAGGAUGUUGGCUUAGAAGCAGCCAUCAUUUAAAGAAAGCGUAAUAGCUCACUGGUCGAGUCGGCCUGCGCGGAAGAUGUAACGGGGCUAAACCAUGCACCGAAGCUGCGGCAGCGAGUAAUAGCUCACUGGUCGAGUCGGCCUGCGCGGAAGAUGUAACGGGGCUAAACCAUGCACCGAAGCUGCGGCAGCGAACGUAUCACUUAAAGCGAUUCAGCGGGUUACGAUUGACGGAGCGAAGCGACGUCAAAGCGUAUACAAAGUCGAGUCGGUUUAAGGAUACGUUCGUUGGGUAGGGGAGCGUUCUGUAAGCCUGUGAAGGUGGCCUGUGAGGGUUGCUGGAGGUAUCAGAAGUGCGAAUGCUNGUUGGGUAGGGGAGCGUUCUGUAAGCCUGUGAAGGUGGCCUGUGAGGGUUGCUGGAGGUAUCAGAAGUGCGAAUGCUGACAUAAGUAACGAUAAAGCGGGUGAAAAGCCCGCUCGCCGGAAGACCAAGGGUUCCUGUCCAACGUUAAUCGGGGCAGGGUGAGUCGACCCCUAAGGCGAGGCCGAAAGGCGUAGUCGAUGGGAAACGGGUUAAUAUUCCCGUACUUGGUGUUACUGCGAAGGGGGGACGGAGAAGGCUAUGUUGGCCGGGCGACGGUUGUCCCGGUUUAAGCGUGUAGGUGUGUGUUCCAGGUAAAUCCGGUUCACUUUAACACUGAGGCGUGAUGACGAGGCACUACGGUGCUGAAGCAACAAAUGCCCUGCUUCCAGGAAAAGCCUCUAAGCAUCAGGUAACAUCAAAUCGUACCCCAAACCGACACAGGUGGUCAGGUAGAGAAUACCAAGGCGCUUGAGAGAACUCGGGUGAAGGAACUAGGCAAAAUGGUGCCGUAACUUCGGGAGAAGGCACGCUGACAUGUAGGUGAAGUGAUUUACUCAUGGAGCUGAAGUCAGUCGAAGAUACCAGCUGGCUGCAACUGUUUAUUAAAAACACAGCACUGUGCAAACACGAAAGUGGACGUAUACGGUGUGACGCCUGCCCGGUGCCGGAAGGUUAAUUGAUGGGGUCAGCGCAAGCGAAGCUCCUGAUCGAAGCCCCGGUAAACGGCGGCCGUAACUAUAACGGUCCUAAGGUAGCGAAAUUCCUUGUCGGGUAAGUUCCGACCUGCACGAAUGGCGUAAUGAUGGCCAGGCUGUCUCCACCCGAGACUCAGUGAAAUUGAACUCGCUGUGAAGAUGCAGUGUACCCGCGGCAAGACGGAAAGACCCCGUGAACCUUUACUAUAGCUUGACACUGAACAUUGAGCCUUGAUGUGUAGGAUAGGUGGGAGGCUUUGAAGCGUGGACGCCAGUCUGCGUGGAGCCGGCCUUGAAAUACCACCCUUUAAUGUUUGAUGUUCUAACGUGGACCCGUGAUCCGGGUUGCGGACAGUGUCUGGUGGGUAGUUUGACUGGGGCGGUCUCCUCCUAAAGAGUAACGGAGGAGCACGAAGGUUGGCUAAUCCUGGUCGGACAUCAGGAGGUUAGUGCAAUGGCAUAAGCCAGCUUGACUGCGAGCGUGACGGCGCGAGCAGGUGCGAAAGCAGGUCAUAGUGAUCCGGUGGUUCUGAAUGGAAGGGCCAUCGCUCAACGGAUAAAAGGUACUCCGGGGAUAACAGGCUGAUACCGCCCAAGAGUUCAUAUCGACGGCGGUGUUUGGCACCUCGAUGUCGGCUCAUCACAUCCUGGGGCUGAAGUAGGUCCCAAGGGUAUGGCUGUUCGCCAUUUAAAGUGGUACGCGAGCUGGGUUUAGAACGUCGUGAGACAGUUCGGUCCCUAUCUGCCGUGGGCGCUGGAGAACUGAGGGGGGCUGCUCCUAGUACGAGAGGACCGGAGUGGACGCAUCACUGGUGUUCGGGUUGUCAUGCCAAUGGCACUGCCCGGUAGCUAAAUGCGGAAGAGAUAAGUGCUGAAAGCAUCUAAGCACGAAACUUGCCCCGAGAUGAGUUCUCCCUGAGACUUAAAGUCUCCUGAAGGAACGUUGAAGACGACGACGUUGAUAGGCCGGGUGUGUAAGCGCAGCGAUGCGUUGAGCUAACCGGUACUAAUGAACCGUGAGGCUUAACCUU